This 68-nucleotide transfer RNA is filed under the name Turnix velox (Little buttonquail). RNAcentral's name for it is "tRNA-Lys". It matches the Rfam family "tRNA". Rfam says of the family: Transfer RNA (tRNA) molecules are approximately 80 nucleotides in length. Their secondary structure includes four short double-helical elements and three loops (D, anti-codon, and T loops). Lineage: Eukaryota; Metazoa; Chordata; Aves; Charadriiformes; Turnicidae. The record is from RNAcentral.
CAUUAAGAAGCUAUGCGACAGCACUAGCCUUUUAAGCUAGAGACAGAGGACUGAUCCCUCCUUAAUGA